CGUUUACACCCCUAAUUGCAGUGACAUUUAUCUAUUUAUGCAUCCCUGAGUCUAUAAAAAUGCUUUUUUUCACUAUUUGGUUGGAUGUAUUUAGAUGGAUCUAAAUAGAAAAGGCUAUGAUGAUACGUUAACUGGUUUGUUCUCUAUUUCUUCGGCAGGAUUGAUUUUAACGGCCACACAAAUUUUUGCAAGGGCUUAAAAUGGAAUUUCAUGGAAGAUUGGCUGAAGCGCGCCAAGUCUGUCAUGUUAACUCAAUGAUGAUUCAUCGGUUGACUCUGAAUUGAAGAUGGAAAUUUUAUUUGUACUAAAAUUAUUGAGGAUGGCUUGAAGGAUGCUGCUUAGGCAACCUGUAUGGACAUUCAAGGAUGCUGGUAAAUAAGGUAGUUUGCUAUCAUGAUUCUUACAUGUGUUCAUCUUCUGCUUCCAACCUACCCUUUCAUUAAAAAAUUGAUUCUUUGGGAUUAAGUUGCCAGUACAGAUCAAAGGCUUUGAAGCAAAGAAAUCUUUCAGCAGCGGCAAUGACUUUUCUGAUUAUUGUUCCUCUUUGGCCCCCUUCUGAGUAUGGUCCAAUUUGAUCACAUCCAAAAUGAUGCAUAUUUAGUAUGAGAGAUUAUGGGCGGAACCUAAACUCUAGACCCUAAAGUGUCAUAAUGGUCACUCAUUUGUAAUUGGUUAGAUGUGAAACUUGUGUACAUUUUUAUUUUGUAGU
Long non-coding RNA from Phalaenopsis equestris, 709 nucleotides. RefSeq lists it as uncharacterized. The transcript is spliced from 4 exons. NCBI's taxonomy places the organism in Eukaryota, Viridiplantae, Streptophyta, Magnoliopsida, Asparagales, Orchidaceae. The record is from RefSeq and is a predicted model, not a curated record.